This 796-nucleotide ribosomal RNA is filed under the name uncultured archaeon. RNAcentral's name for it is "bacterial SSU rRNA". It matches the Rfam family "Archaeal small subunit ribosomal RNA", at positions 85 to 879 of the family's 1478-position model. The record is from RNAcentral.
ACGGCUCAGUAACACGUGGAUAACCUGCCCUUGGGUCCGGCAUAACCCCGGGAAACUGGGGAUAAUUCCGGAUAACGCACAUAUGCUGGAAUGCUUUAUGCGUAAAAUGGAUUCGUCUGCCCAAGGAUGGGUCUGCGGCCUAUCAGGUAGUAGUGGGUGUAAUGUACCUACUAGCCUACGACGGGUACGGGUUGUGAGAGCAAGAGCCCGGAGAUGGAUUCUGAGACAUGAAUCCAGGCCCUACGGGGCGCAGCAGGCGCGAAAACUUUACAAUGCGGGAAACCGUGAUAAGGGGACACCGAGUGCCAGCGUCAUACGCUGGCUGUCCAGGUGUGCAAAAUACACCUGUUAGCAAGGGCCGGGCAAGACCGGUGCCAGCCGCCGCGGUAACACCGGCGGCCCGAGUGGUGAUCGUGAUUAUUGGGUCUAAAGGGUCCGUAGCCGGUUUGGUCAGUCCUCCGGGAAAUCUGACAGCUUAACUGUUAGGCUUUCGGAGGAUACUGCCAGACUUGGAACCGGGAGAGGUAAGAGGUACUACAGGGGUAGGAGUGAAAUCUUGUAAUCCCUGUGGGACCACCUGUGGCGAAGGCGUCUUACCAGAACGGGUUCGACGGUGAGGGACGAAAGCUGGGGGCACGAACCGGAUUAGAUACCCGGGUAGUCCCAGCCGUAAACGAUGCUCGCUAGGUGUCAGGCAUGGCGCGACCGUGUCUGGUGCCGCAGGGAAGCCGUGAAGCGAGCCACCUGGGAAGUACGGCCGCAAGGCUGAAACUUAAAGGAAUUGGCGGGGGAGCAC